Molecule: long non-coding RNA, 1502 nt
Organism: Magallana angulata
Lineage: Eukaryota; Metazoa; Mollusca; Bivalvia; Ostreida; Ostreidae
Exons: 3
Source: RefSeq, a predicted model, not a curated record
CUGCAAGUGAACCUAAUAAUAUCAUCUCUAGGGGAGGGUGUUUUGAUGUUUCGGAACCCAAUGUUUUUAUUGUUAUUUUCCCCAACUAUAAUUUCUACACUGGGACCUGUCCACCACUAGUAAGUGGCAUGAAAACUUCAGCCCACAAGAGAUUCAAAACUGUUACAAAUGAGGAAAUAGAGAAAUUUUUCGACUCCAGGCAAGCAAAAUCAACAAAAAAAAAAUACAGCAUGGGGAUUUUUCAAGAUUGGAACAUGGAGAUCUAUGGUUCUGUACUAAUGGUGCAACAUUAGACCUGCAAACAGCAAAUGUGUCAACUCUUGCCAGUCAUCUCUCGUGAUUUUAUUGUGAAGCCAGCCCCAAAGAAAAAGUUGAUGAUGAUGUUUAGCCUUUGUACCACAAAAAUACUUUGAUCAAUAUCAAAGGAGCAAUAAAUCGCCAUCUUGCUGACAUUCAGAGAGAUGUAAAUAUAGUCCAUGACAAGGAGUUCAGAACAGCCAAUGGAAUCUUGGAUGGUUUCUUUAAAGAGCGAACCUGACUUGAUCUGUCAAAACCAACAUCACACAAAGAUAUUAUCGAGAUACAUGAUCUGCAGAAGAUUUAUAAAUACCUCCAAGGUGCCACAUCAUCACCAGUGGUUUUGCGCCAUGCUGUAUGGUACUUUCUGUCCAUCAAUUUUAAUACCAUAGGUUUAGAGUUCCACCAUAAGUUUAAUCAUAACAGCUUUGUCUUCUGCACAGAUGAAACUUGCCAAUAUGCUGCAUUACAACACAAAACAUUACAAAAUAAUCAUCAAGGUGGUGUAGAUGCCGAUGACAGCCAUACAGACAAGAUAAUGUACGCAACUGAUAAUGAAAACUGCUGUCAUGUUUAUCUCUUAAAGUUACUGAUGUCAAAAACAGAUUCAAAUGCUACAAAUCUUUUCAACCAAUACAUAUAAGAGAGAGUUCAUUCUGAUAUUUGGUAUUCAGCAAAACCCCUGCCAAAGCGCACUUUCAACAAGUCUCUCGGGGAGAUUUGCUUUGCUGCUGGUGUGGAGCAUAAAUACACAUCCCACUGUUUACUGGCCACUGCAAACACUUACCUUAAUGAUCAGGGAUUUGAAGCACGACACAUCAUGUUCAUGUCGAACCAAAGGAAUGAGAGUUCAAUGAGGUCAUAUAACAGAUCGCUCUCCUCUAAGCAAAAAAAAAAGCAUUCUGCGAUGGCGUCUGCAUCUUCAUCCCCUUUUACGAUCGUAGCUCUUCCACCGCUGUCGACCAGGUUCUCGAACUUGCCACCACGAACCCAUGAAAAUCAGGCUCAACUUGAAAACUUACCGUCACCAUCUGCACAUGAGACCACAACUCUCAUAUCGUCAAAUUCCACAGCCACAACAUCGUCCUCCAUGCCAGCAACAUUGAAAACAGUUAACAUGAACAUGCAAAACAUUAAUUCAACAGCUGGGUUUUUCAAUAAUGCAAACUUCAGGGAGAGCACAUUUCGUUUUACUCAGUUGUGCU